Molecule: ribosomal RNA, 454 nt
Filed under: uncultured bacterium
Lineage: Bacteria
Description: bacterial SSU rRNA
Rfam family: Bacterial small subunit ribosomal RNA
Source: RNAcentral
UACGGAAGGCAGCAGUGGGGAAUAUUGCACAAUGGGCGCAAGCCUGAUGCAGCCAUGCCGCGUGUAUGAAAAAGGCCUUCGGGUUGUAAAGUACUUUCAGUCGUGAGGAAGGUGUUAAGGUUAAUAACCUUAGCAAUUGACGUUAGCGACAGAAGAAGCACCGGCUAACUCCGUGCCAGCAGCCGCGGUAAUACGGAGGGUGCGAGCGUUAAUCGGAAUUACUGGGCGUAAAGGGCACGCAGGCGGUUAAUUAAGUUGGAUGUGAAAUCCCCGGGCUUAACCUGGGAAUGGCAUUCAAGACUGGUUAGCUAGAGUCUUGUAGAGGGGGUUAGAAUUCCAUGUGUAGCGGUGAAAUGCGUAGAGAUGUGGAGGAAUACCGGUGGCGAAGGCGGCCCCUGGACAAAGACUGACGCUCAUGUGCGAAAGCGUGGGGAGCGAAACAGGGAUUAGAUAC